Molecule: long non-coding RNA, 970 nt
Organism: Musca domestica (house fly)
Lineage: Eukaryota; Metazoa; Arthropoda; Insecta; Diptera; Muscidae
Exons: 2
Source: RefSeq, a predicted model, not a curated record
UGUGCAGUAACCGCCAUUGAGUGCCGGCUUAAACUUUGAAGUGGAAGUAAUUUGAAAGUGUUUGUGCCGCAAUUUUUAAAUGAAAAGACAGUUGGUUGUUGUUUGUUUUUAUAUUUAUUUUAUGGGAAUAACGACCAAAAAUUUCCUGAACAUAAUCACCAACAUUACUGGCCUCAGGUAUUCCAGAAGUGGGGCCAGUGAUUCGUCUUUCACCCAGUAUUUCUACCGUAAUUUUGGGGUUGUGGCAGCAAAUUACUAGGAAGCAUCACCCGCAUCAUCAUCCUUUCUAUAGAAAAAUUGAAGUGCCGGUAGUGUCAGCCUUAUCCACCAAUUGCCAGUCACUACGAUACCUGUGCGUUGGUUUGGAUUAGUCAGUGUGCAUCGGGGUUAAGGUAUUACCAAUUGCCACACAUUCAAGGCUGGAGCGCAAGGUAACCCUUAGAAUUUGAAUUUUAUAAGAUAUAUAACAAAGGGGCUAAGAGUGCGUCGGCGGUUUCCUGCAAAACAAGAAAAGAAGAAAAUUUUAAUGUUUUUAAAAAAAGACAUCAAUUAAGAUGCAAUUGUCAAACAAGCCUAAAUUUUAAUAAUUAAUUAACCAUUAAACAACGUAUAUGUAUUUAGUGUUAAAAUUGUGUUGUCUUUGUGUAUGUCCUAGAGUUUAAGUGAUUUCAACUGUAAGGAUUUUUAACGCCAGGAUAGUAAUCACAAGUUUGUGUGCGAUUUCAGAGAGGUCGGGUAUUAGAAUUGUUCAUUUUGGCCCAGGAAUAACCAUCUUAAGCGAGCUCUCUUAGGGUAGGCAUUUGGUAAUAAAAUUUGCGUGAAUAAAAAGCAAUAGUCUCUCGCUAAACUGGUGUUAGAUAUUCCGUUAAAAAAAAAAAAAGAGAAAGAUUAAACAAUUAGAAAAAAACGAAAUUAGUUUUAAGAAACCUUUUAUAAAAUAAAUGUUUUAAUGUUUGGUUCGUGAAAGAAA